Molecule: ribosomal RNA, 417 nt
Filed under: uncultured bacterium
Lineage: Bacteria
Description: bacterial SSU rRNA
Rfam family: Bacterial small subunit ribosomal RNA
Source: RNAcentral
UGCAGUCGAGGGGUAACAGGGAGUGCUUGCACUCUGCUGACGACCGGCGCACGGGUGCGUAACGCGUAUGCAAUCUACCUCUUACUGAGGGAUAGCCCAUGGAAACGUGGAUUAAUACCUCAUAGUAUUAUAAACUGGCCUCAGUUUAUGAUUAAAGGUUACGGUAAGAGAUGAGCAUGCGUCCUAUUAGCUAGAUGGUAAGGUAACGGCUUACCAUGGCUACGAUAGGUAGGGGUCCUGAGAGGGAGAUCCCCCACACUGGUACUGAGACACGGACCAGACUCCUACGGGAGGCAGCAGUGAGGAAUAUUGGACAAUGGGCGAGAGCCUGAUCCAGCCAUGCCGCGUGCAGGAAGACGGCCCUAUGGGUUGUAAACUGCUUUUACAGAGGAAGAACCCUCCUUACGUGUAAGGAGC